This 472-nucleotide ribosomal RNA is filed under the name uncultured bacterium. Its description in RNAcentral is "bacterial SSU rRNA". It matches the Rfam family "Bacterial small subunit ribosomal RNA", at positions 355 to 825 of the family's 1533-position model. The record is from RNAcentral.
UCGGGAAUUUUGGGCAAUGGGGGCAACCCUGAUCCAGCGAUGCCGCGUGUGUGAAGAAGGCCUGCGGGUUGUAAAGCACUUUAGUUGGGGAGGAAAGGUAUGUACUGCAUAAGUGCAUGCUGUGACGUUACCCAAAGAAUAAGCACCGGCAAACUCUGUGCCAGCAGCCGCGGUAAUACAGAGGGUGCAAGCGUUAAUCGGACUUACUGGGCGUAAAGCGCGCGUAGGUGGUUAGUUAAGUUGGAUGUGAAAUCCCCGGGCUCAACCUGGGAACUGCAUUCAAAACUGACUGACUAGAGUAUGGUAGAGGGUGGUGGAAUUUCCUGUGUAGCGGUGAAAUGCGUAGAUAUAGGAAGGAACACCAGUGGCGAAGGCGACCACCUGGACUGAUACUGACACUGAGGUGCGAAAGCGUGGGGAGCAAACAGGAUUAGAUACCCAAGUAGUCCCUGAGCGGGCUGGCAAGGCGCAU